CCUACGGGAGGCAGCAGUGGGGAAUAUUGGACAAUGGGGGGAACCCUGAUCCAGCCAUGCCGCGUGUGUGAAGAAGGCCCUCGGGUUGUAAAGCACUUUCAGUGAGGAAGAACGCCUGGUGGUUAAUACCCAUCAGGAAAGACAUCACUCACAGAAGAAGCACCGGCUAACUCCGUGCCAGCAGCCGCGGUAAUACGGAGGGUGCGAGCGUUAAUCGGAAUUACUGGGCGUAAAGCGCGCGUAGGUGGCUGGAUAAGCCGGUUGUGAAAGCCCCGGGCUCAACCUGGGAACGGCAUCCGGAACUGUCAAGCUAGAGUGCAGGAGAGGAAGGUAGAAUUCCCGGUGUAGCGGUGAAAUGCGUAGAGAUCGGGAGGAAUACCAGUGGCGAAGGCGGCCUUCUGGACUGACACUGACACUGAGGUGCGAAAGCGUGGGUAGCAAACAGGAUUAGAUACCCGAGUAGUC
Molecule: ribosomal RNA, 465 nt
Filed under: Vreelandella stevensii
Lineage: Bacteria; Pseudomonadati; Pseudomonadota; Gammaproteobacteria; Oceanospirillales; Halomonadaceae
Description: partial 16S ribosomal RNA
Rfam family: Bacterial small subunit ribosomal RNA
Source: RNAcentral